RNAcentral lists this ribosomal RNA (457 nucleotides) under uncultured Pseudomonadota bacterium. Its description in RNAcentral is "bacterial SSU rRNA". It matches the Rfam family "Bacterial small subunit ribosomal RNA", at positions 53 to 488 of the family's 1533-position model. Lineage: Bacteria; Pseudomonadati; Pseudomonadota. The record is from RNAcentral.
ACAUGCAAGUCGAGCGGUAACAGACAUUUUGAUUUUGCUUGCAAAUCUCGUGCUGACGAGCGGCGAACGGGUGAGUAACGCGUAGGAAUCUACCUAGUAGAAGGGGAUAGCCCGAGGAAACUCGGAUUAAUACCGUAUACGUCCUUAGGGAGAAAGAGGGCUUAGCUUUGAUGCUCUCGCUAUUAGAUGAGCCUGCGUAAGAUUAGCUUGUUGGUGAGGUAAAGGCUCACCAAGGCGACGAUCUUUAGCUGGUCUGAGAGGACGAUCAGCCACAUUGGGACUGAGACACGGCCCAGACUCCUACGGGAGGCAGCAGUGGGGAAUAUUGGACAAUGGGCGCAAGCCUGAUCCAGCCAUACCGCGUGUGUGAAGAAGGCCUUCGGGUUGUAAAGCACUUUAAGUAAGGAAGAAAAGAGUAUUGUUAAUACCAGUACUCCGUGACAUUACUUACAGAAUA